GACGAACGCUGGCGGCGUGCUUAACACAUGCAAGUCGAGCGGUAAGGCCCUUUCGGGGGUACACGAGCGGCGAACGGGUGAGUAACACGUGGGUGACCUGCCCUCAGCUCUGGGAUAAGCCUGGGAAACCGGGUCUAAUACCGGAUAUGACUCCAUGACGCAUGUUGUGGGGUGGAAAGCCUUGUGCGGCUGAGGAUGGGCCCGCGGCCUAUCAGCUUGUUGGUGGGGUGAU
RNAcentral lists this ribosomal RNA (232 nucleotides) under uncultured bacterium. RNAcentral's name for it is "partial 16S ribosomal RNA". It matches the Rfam family "Bacterial small subunit ribosomal RNA", at positions 28 to 261 of the family's 1533-position model. The record is from RNAcentral.